This 317-nucleotide long non-coding RNA is filed under the name Capsella rubella. RNAcentral describes it as "long non-coding RNA (CRUB_LNC003073)". Lineage: Eukaryota; Viridiplantae; Streptophyta; Magnoliopsida; Brassicales; Brassicaceae. The record is from RNAcentral.
UCGUAUCUGUUCACGGGUUUCAAGAAAAUGAAAAUUUUUUUUUUAAAUAAGCUUUAAGAUACGUAAACAAUACUUUUUUUUUUGACGAAAACUUUGAACUAGUACAGAAACUAAAUCAAAGACUGAAGCAGACGAUUUAAGGAAAGAAUAGUGACGAAUUUUUAUGGAUUUUUUUGAAGGAAAAAUAAAACUAAACAACAUAUAGCACAAGACUGAAGCAAACUAGGGUUCUUAAAAAACAUUUUUUUGAAAAUUAAAUAAAACAAAACUAGAAAUAAAAACUAUCGAAAAAAGAUGGAAAAGAUAAUCCUGGCAAG